Schistocerca nitens (vagrant locust) is the source of this 5713-nucleotide RNA transcript. It is a transcript of the gene named serine palmitoyltransferase 1-like, with no coding region annotated. The record is from RefSeq and is a predicted model, not a curated record. The transcript has 3 exons. Lineage: Eukaryota; Metazoa; Arthropoda; Insecta; Orthoptera; Acrididae.
ACAUCAUUGCUUGAAUUUGGCUUCCCACAAUUAUCUGGGAUUUAUUGGAAAUUCUGAAAUUGAAGAAUGUGCUGUUCGAACUUUAAGGAAAUAUGGUGUUGGUUCCUGUGGUCCAAGAGCAUUCUAUGGGACUGUUGUAGCCACCAGAACGAUCGCGGGAGGCGCACAUUGGCACGGCGCGUCACGGGCGGUAGUUUCCGCAAGUAGAGUCCCGUCCACCAGAGGGCACGCGAGAAUUCGGACGCGACCUCUGCCGGCGUAACAACAACAACAACUACUCCGGCAGCACGGGCCGUGCCCAGUCAGUCAACAUCGGGAAUGCCUAGGACGCAGUCCCGGUCUACGCUACGUGAAGUGCGACGUAAAGUGAACAGUGUUACUACACAAUUGGCGACGAGUAGGGUCGUUCUUUCGCGUGUUGCGUCGUUGUUCCGGUUUCGCAGCUUCUCCACGGCAUGGAGGAUUUAGUGCAGGUUUUGGUUGCGCAGCAGACGGAGCUCAUGGCCACCCUGAAACAAGUGCUUCCGGCGUUGUUCUCCACGCCGUCUGCUCCGGCGCAGUUCCCUCCUCCCUUUCCCCCGUAUGACGAGACGGCGGAGGAUUGGGACGCAUACGAACAUCGCCUUCGGCAGCAUUUCCAGGCGUUUCAUGUUGCCGAUGCGGAGGUAUGUCGUGCUCUCUUUUUGUCUUCGAUAUCUCCCUCGCUGUAUCAAGUUUUGCGGCAGCUAGCGCCGUUGCAGGAACCCUCGUCCUUGUCUUUUGACGCAUUGUGUUCAUUGCUGUCUUCACAUUAUCGCCGCCGCACGCAUGUUGUGGCGGCUAGGGUCGAGUUCUAUCAAUGCAAGAAACAGCCCCAUCAGUCUUACCGGGCGUGGGCCGCUACCCUGCACGGUCUUAGUCGCAAGUGUCAUUUUGUCACGGCGCAGUCGCGAGAAUCGUAUGCCCACGUUAUGGUGCACGACGUCAUUGUUCGUUCGGCCCCUGAUAGGGAGGUCCGGCAACGGGCCAUGCAGUUAGAAGACCCUUCUCUCGAGGAAGUCCUGUCCAUUGCUCAAUCGUAUGAAGUCUCUCACGCAGCAGGUCAACAGCUGGAAGCGUGGUGCGACGUCGCGGAGGUUCAGGGCGGCGCGGCCGCGUCCACUGUGUCCUGGGUGGACGACGUGCGAGCGGUACAAUCCGGCCGUUACGGCCGCUCCCGCACGGCGCGUAAACAGAAUUCCGGCCGCCGACCCCUGUUGCCGUCCUGUGCGUCGUGCUAUAUACAUCACGAUCGAUCAGAGUGCCCCCGGCGUUGGGCCGUUUGUCGCAAAUGUAAUAAAAAAGGUCACAUUGCUAAAGUUUGCCGCUCCGCCUCGAAAGAAUCGAAGGAAGCAAGUCCAGAGGACAUGGACGUUGACAUUCAGGAAGUUUCAUCGGGCCAGGCUCCCGACGCGUCGGCCCGCAAACUCUUUAUCGAGGUGUCGGUUCGGUCGCGCCGGUUAAAACUGCAAGUCGAUACGGGCGCGGCAGUUUCGUUGUUGAAUGCACAAACUUAUUCCGACCUUGGAUCGCCCCCGUUGGAGCCCGUUUACCGGCGUCUACGCGGUUAUGGUAAACAGUUCAUUCCCCUACUGGGUCAAUUCACUACCGACGUGACUUACAAAUCAGUCACUCGGCCUAUUACUUUUAUUGUUGUCAGUGAUGCGAGUUCCGCUAACCUUUUUGGCCUGGAUGCCUUUCAAGCUUUCGGUUUUUCUAUUGCUGACACCAUACAGUUGGUCUCCGAAGACGUUCCCUAUCACUCAUUGGAAUCUUUGAUCUCAGACUUUCCCGAUAUUUUUGAGGAGGGCCUGGGGCGUGUUUCCGAUUUUGAAGCUCACUUAACGUUGAAGGCGUCGGCUCGCCCGCGUUUUCUACGCGCGAGACAGAUCCCCUUGGCUCUCCGCCCUCAGGUAAAGGAAGAGCUAGACCGGCUGACAGCCCUAGGGGUCGUUCUUCCCAGUUCUUCUAGUGAGUGGGCUUCGCCCCUAGUUAUUGUCAAGAAGCCCUCGGGAAAAUUACGUCUUUGUGGCGAUUUCAAGGCCACCAUUAAUUCCCAAUUGGUGGUGGACACCUAUCCUUUGCCUCGUGCUGAUGAAUUGUUCUCCGCCGUGGCGGGAGGCCAAUAUUUUUCGAAAAUCGAUCUGUCGGAGGCUUAUCAUCAGAUACCACUUGAUGAGGACUCCAAACGGCUGGCGGUCGUCAACACACCGUUUGGCCUUUACCAAUACCAGCGGUUGGCUUUUGGGAUAUCCAGUGCCCCGGCGAUAUUCCAGCGUUAUCUUGAGCAUGUCACUUCGACAAUCCCUCAUUGUAUUAAUUACCUGGAUGACAUAAUUGUCACAGGCCGCAGCACGAAGGAACACUUGCACAACCUUCGCACCCUCUUUCUGAAAUUCAGGUCUGUGGGCUUGCGUUGCAACCUGCAUAAGUCAACCUUCUUCCAACCGUCCAUUGAGUAUGUGGGCUACACCAUAUCUCGGCAUGGCAUCCAGCCACUAGGAAGUUUGGUCCAAGGUAUCGUCAACCUUCCUCGGCCCGCUUCGCUGAAAGAGUUACAAGCUUUUUUAGGCAAGAUAGCCUAUUACCACCGGUUCAUUCCCAGGGCUUCCACUAUAGCCCACCCCCUGUACUGCCUUCUGCACAAGGGUGUUCCUUUUGAUUGGUCGCCUGCAUGCGAGCGAGCGUUCACCUCCUUGAAGGGCCUCCUCACUUCAGCCCCUUGUUUGGCUACUUUUGAUCCCCAUAAGCUGUUGGUCCUGGCUACAGAUGCUUCGCAGUAUGGGGUGGGGGCAGUCCUGGCCCAUCGCAACGCAGAUGGUUCCGAGCAACCACUGGCGUUUGCGUCUAAAACGCUUAGUCCCGCGCAGGCCCAUUACUCCCAGGUGGAAAAAGAAGCUUUGGCCAUUGUCUACGCUGUUACCAAGUUUCACCCUUUCUUGUAUGGCACGAAGUUUCAUUUAAUCACUGACCAUAAGCCGUUAAUAUCGUUAUUUGGCCCCGCCUCUCAGAUUCCGGAUAGGGCGGCCCACAGACUACAGCGCUGGGCCUUGUUCCUCUCUAAGUACCAUUAUGACAUUCGUUUUCGCCCUACAGGGCAGCAUGCCAACGCCGACGCUCUUUCCCGUCUUCCGGUGGGCCCGGAUCCUACGUUCGAUCGGGAGGAGAUUGUGUUUUCAAUUGGAUGUGGCGUCCCGCCAAGCAGUUGAUGGCUUCCCGAUCACUAGUUCUCGAGUCGCCAAGGAAACGGCGGCUGACCCGGUUCUCCGGCAAGUAGUUCGCCUCAUUCAGCAGGGGUGGUCAUCCCGCCCUCCGGGCCGGGCCUCGGACCCUCUUCGUAAUUAUUUUCUUCUACGAGACCGCCUCUCAGUCUUGGAAGGAGUUCUCCUUCUGGCUACCGAUGAUACAGCUCCUCGCGUGGUUAUUCCUGCAGGUUUACGAAGGGAGGUCCUGACGUUAUUACAUGCGGGGCACUGGGGUGUUUCCCGUACUAAAACCUUGGCUCGCAGACAUGUGUACUGGCCCGGUAUUGACAGAGAAAUUGAGCACUUGGUGGCCGCCUGUUCCCAGUGUGCGAGCCAACAAGCAUCUCCCAGGGCAGCGUUCUCUUCAUGGCCGCCGGCAACCCAAGCAUGGGAACGUGUUCACAUCGAUUUUGCGGGCCCGUUUCUCAAUGGCUUUUGGCUCAUUGUCAUUGAUGCUUAUUCCCGAUUCCCAUAUGUGGUUCGCUGCUCCUCCACCACUUCAGAAGUUGCAAUCCAGGCACUAGCAAAAAUCUUUUCUGUGGAAGGUCUGCCAAUCACCCUGGUCUCAGACAAUGGACCGCAGUUUAUUUCACAGACCUUCCAGGAUUUUUGUAGGCGCUUCAGUAUUCGGCACGUUUGCUCUCCCCCCUUCCAUCCACAAUCGAAUUGGGAAGCCGAGCGCAUGGUGCGCACAAUUAAGACGCAGAUGAAAAAGUAUGUGCACGAAUUUCCUGCAGAGGAAGCCUUGACGUUUUUCUUGACGGCAUACCGGACCGCACCAAUGGGUGAACGCAGCCCCGCAGAGCUCCUCCAUGGGCGUCAACCUAGGACUCUGCUGCACCUUCUCCGGCCUGGUCCUCGCCAGUCUUCACAAACCGGAGUACCUGGUUUUCCACUGGGUAUGUCGGUCUGGGCCCGUGGGUUUGGUCGCAAUCCACGUUGGAUACCGGCGGUGGUCCUGCAUCGAAAUGGCCGCCGGCUCUAUACCUUGCAGGCGGGGGAUCGGGUGGUACGUCGUCACCAAAAUCAGCUACGUCCACGUUCGGGCACCCACCCUCCGACCUCUCGGGCACUGGCUUCCCCAUUGCCGGCACCUGUAUUGGUUUCACAGGGGACGUCACCUCCUCUCCCCACGGUGCCUCUGCCGCACUGCGAUGGUUCUCCGCCUUGGCAGCCUCCAGUAGCUCCAGCACCGGCAUCGCCGUCAUUCGCGAUGCCCCAGCGAGAGCUGGCCCCCCUAGCUGGCCCGGUUUCUCAGGGGGCUAGUUCACCUGUGGUCGUCCCUUCCCCUUCGUCCCCACCACUGGGUCUUGGCCCUCCCGAGGUGGAACAUGAUCCGGAGUUCGACAGCUUGUCACCCGUUCUGUCCCGAGCUCCGGUUGUGGGACGACGGGGGCCUCUUCGGGUGGGUCACUUCCAGCCGUAUUCGAAGGUUCCAGCUCGAGGGUUGGCAGAUCCCCUCGACUCCGGCCAUCCAAUGGAUGUGGAGGUCAUCGCUCCUGCCCGACGCUCCACCUUCCGACGCAGUGGAUCACAGUGGCUCCACCCCCCGAAGGAGGAGGAGUGUAGUAGCCACCAGAACGAUCGCGGGAGGCGCACAUUGGCACGGCGCGUCACGGGCGGUAGUUUCCGCAAGUAGAGUCCCGUCCACCAGAGGGCACGCGAGAAUUCGGACGCGACCUCUGCCGGCGUAACAACAACAACAACAACAACUACUCCGGCAGCACGGGCCGUGCCCAGUCAGUCAACAUCGGGAAUGCCUAGGACGCAGUCCCGGUCUACGCUACGUGAAGUGCGAUGUACACCAGGAAGGAAAGGUUCAGACAUAAAAUCAGAGUCGAUGAAUUAACUCUGUGAACUGUGGUGAAAUGGAAGGUGAAUUACUUUUUAUCUUGUUCACUAAAAUUUAUUACAUGGUCAUUUAAAGAGUAGAGCAAGACGUAUCUACACUACAUGCUCUGUUUUACACAUUUUUGCAACAAGUUCAAUGUUGUAUAUAAGAUUCACUCAUUGCAGCUGCCAGAACAUAUUAUCUGUUUUGGAGGCAAUGUGAUGAAUUUGUAGGUGGAAUUAAAGAACUUUCAAUUGGGUAACUCUUCCAAGUCAUUGAAGAAUAUCUUAACAUAAACACUAAAAAUGAAUGUUUCAAGUUAUGGUAGAAUUAAUAUUAGCACUCACUUGAGAGAAGUGUAAAAUUAUGAGACAGAAUGGCUGUCCAGUAAUUACAGUUUGUAGGUGACGUGUCAAAACUAUUGAUAUGCACAUUAAAUAAAGAAAUAAGCAUGUUGUUGGAAAAAGUAUGACUUUCCAUGAACAUACGUAUGUGUGUGUUUGUUUUCAUUUUGCCAAAAUCUAUGAAGAGCAGCUACUGCUUAUACCUUUCUUGAAUUUUUAAUUUUGAUUGCUAUUUUCUAAAAGCACACUUAGCUACAUGUCACUAAUGUCACUCA